UCCGUAGGGUGCAAGCGUUAAUCGGAAUUACUGGGCGUAAAGCGUGCGCAGGCGGUGAUGUAAGACCGUUGUGAAAUCCCCGGGCUCAACCUGGGAACUGCAUCUGUGACUGCAUUGCUGGAGUGCGGCAGAGGGGGAUGGAAUUCCGCGUGUAGCAGUGAAAUGCGUAGAUAUGCGGAGGAACACCGAUGGCGAAGGCAAUCCCCUGGGCCUGCACUGACGCUCAUGCACGAAAGCGUGGGGAGCAAACAGG
RNAcentral lists this ribosomal RNA (253 nucleotides) under uncultured bacterium. RNAcentral describes it as "partial 16S ribosomal RNA". It matches the Rfam family "Bacterial small subunit ribosomal RNA", at positions 524 to 776 of the family's 1533-position model. The record is from RNAcentral.